This 407-nucleotide ribosomal RNA is filed under the name uncultured rumen bacterium. RNAcentral describes it as "bacterial SSU rRNA". It matches the Rfam family "Bacterial small subunit ribosomal RNA", at positions 510 to 916 of the family's 1533-position model. The record is from RNAcentral.
AGCAGCCGCGGUAAUAUGUAGGUGGCAAGCGUUGUUCGGAAUUAUUGGGCGUAAAGCGUAUGUAGGCGGUAAUUUAAGUCUGUCGUGAAACUGCGGGGCUCAGCCCCGUAUGGCGAUGGAAACUGGGUUACUUGAGAGCAGGAGAGGAAAGGGGAACUUUCAGUGUAGCGGUGAAAUGCGUAGAUAUUGGGAAGAACACCGGUGGCGAAGGCGCCUUUCUGGACUGUGUCUGACGCUGAGAUGCGAAAGCCAGGGUAGCGAACGGGAUUAGAUACCCCGGUAGUUCUGGCCGUAAACGAUGGGUACUAGGUGUGGGAGGUAUCGACCCCUUCCGUGCCGGAGUUAACGCAAUAAGUACCCUGCCUGGGGAGUACGGCUGCAAGGCUUAAACUCAAAUAAAUUGACGG